This 491-nucleotide ribosomal RNA is filed under the name uncultured bacterium. Its description in RNAcentral is "bacterial SSU rRNA". It matches the Rfam family "Bacterial small subunit ribosomal RNA", at positions 28 to 534 of the family's 1533-position model. The record is from RNAcentral.
GAUGAACGUUGGCGGCGUGCCUAAUACAUGCAAGUCGAACGGAGAUUGUAGCAAUACGGUCUCAGUGGCGAACGGGUGAGUAACGCGUUGGUGACCUGCCCCGAAGUGUGGAAUAACAGAUCGAAAGAGCUGCUAAUACCGCAUAAUAUCCAGAGGACUAGAUGCCUUUGGAUUAAAGGAUUUAUUCGCUUCGGGAGGGGCCUGCGUCCCAUCAGCUAGUUGGUAAGGUAAAGGCUUACCAAGGCUAUGACGGGUAGGGGACCUGAGAGGGUGGCCCCCCACAACGGAACUGAAACACGGUCCAUACACCUACGGGUGGCAGCAGUAGGGAAUAUUAGUAAUGGGCGAAAGCCUGAACUAGCAACGCCGCGUGUGCGAAGAAGGCCUUCGGGUUGUAAAGCACUUUUGUAGAGGAUGAGGAAGGGACGGUACGUCUCAGAAUAAGUCUCGGCUAACUACGUGCCAGCAGCCGCGGUAACGUACGUAGCGUG